This 138-nucleotide microRNA precursor is filed under the name Puccinia graminis f. sp. tritici CRL 75-36-700-3. Its description in RNAcentral is "microRNA MIR807". The record is from RNAcentral. Lineage: Eukaryota; Fungi; Basidiomycota; Pucciniomycetes; Pucciniales; Pucciniaceae.
AUCCUUCCGGUCAAUAAGAAACAACAAUACCAUCGACCGGAAGGAAUCCCUUCCGGUCGAUGGGGCGGUUACACCUCAUCGACCGGAAGGAAUUCCUUCUGGUCGAUGGUGUCGUUGUAUCUCAUUGGCCGGAAGGAU